RNAcentral lists this unclassified non-coding RNA (1004 nucleotides) under Hevea brasiliensis (rubber tree). The record is from RNAcentral. Lineage: Eukaryota; Viridiplantae; Streptophyta; Magnoliopsida; Malpighiales; Euphorbiaceae.
UGAAGUUUAAGUCCUCUUCUAUUCUUCUCCUAUUCUUUUGAUAAUAAUUAGUUGGUGUGGUCGUUAGACGCAAAAAUGAGAAUUUACUCCACACUGAUGGAUACCAUCGAGACGUACGCGGGGCUGUCACCGGCGGCGUUCUUUACAAUAGCCGCUCUCAUGGUGGUGGUUUACAAGAUCGUAUGCAGCAUGUUCGUGGACCCAGAAGAGUUCAAUAAGCCCACCAACAAUUCCUCCAUCAAUCUUCAUCAUUCAACGCCAAAAAUCUCAGAACCUUUUCAAUUAGGAGAUGUUACAGAGCAAGAAUUGAGAGCUUAUGAUGGCUCUGAUCCUAAUAAGCCACUGUUGAUGGCCAUCAAAGGUCAGAUCUAUGACGUCUCUUCCUCUAGGAUGUUUUAUGGUCCUGGUGGUCCAUAUUCUAAGUUUGCUGGAAGGGAUGCCAGCAGAGCCUUAGCUCUCCUCUCAUUUGAUCCUAAAGACCUUACAGGGAAUCUUGAGGGUCUUAGUGAUUCUGAGCUUGAAGUUUUACAGGACUGGGCGUAUAAAUUCAUGGAAAAAUAUGUGAAAGUUGGGCAGCUUGUUGCAGAGCAAACUAGGACUGAGCAAACGGAUGGAGAAGAAGUUGAAGAAAGCCACAAACAUGAAACAAAUGGAGAUAGGCAGACAUUUUAAGCAUGGCCAAGGCAGAACGGAGGUAGUAUGUAUAUGAUCAUAUUUAGUAGGUUUUUUUUCAACACGUUCUUGCAGAGAUGAUUCUUAGCUUGAGAAAAAUCUGCUAAUAACAAUCUUUGGUAUGAGACUGUGAAGUAAGUCUUCUUCAUUAGCUGAGGGAUGGUUCUUGGCAUGCCUAUGUGAAUGUAUUUUUGCUCUUCUCCAUUGCCAAAUGGAGCAAAGCAAAAUCCUAGUGCUAUAUAUAUAUAUAUAUACUUUGACAUAAAGCAAUAAUGGGUUUGUCUAUUCUGGUGACUGCCAACUCAACGGAUAAUAAAAAGACAUGGGGGGAU